GACCUGGCUGCAGCACGCAGAAAGGGGCGGGGUCGGGCCAGUUUUCAGACUCAUACCAUAUUUGGAAAACGCAACGCUUAAAGAGCAAGUAACGUCUAAAUUAACUUUUUUUUUAUGAUGAACUGUAUAAAUGAGUGUCUAAUAGUGUUUUAAAUGUGUGCAUUCUUUAUUUUAGCAUUUUGGUGCAUUUUCUUUAAAAAUUAAAAAUUCUGUCUAAAAACCACAGUAAUGCGCCACCUUCAGCUGAAAACAUAGAAUUUGAGUCAUUUUGAAUAAAUUUUAGCCAAUGGCUAAAGAGUAAAAUACUACGUAAACCAGUAGAGUACUACGUAGCAGCUCCGUGCCAAAGUUAUAAAAGCAUCGAGCGUCUCGGCCACGCCCUGUGGCGAGUGGGAGUUGGAUUUGCAAGCGAGGUCAGCGGUAGUUCAGCAUUAGCAUAUAGCAUUAGCAUAUCCUAGUCUUUAGCAUAGCUUUUAGUGUUAUAAAUACUUAUUUAGUGUUAGUUUGGCUGUUGGAUAUUGUAGUUUGGUUAGUGUUUGGCUGUUAGUGUAAUUGGGAAAGUAGUUUGGGUUUAGUGCUCCAUAUCGUGUUAGCAUGGUGAGAUGGUGUAGUGUAGUAUGGUUGCGGUAGCUCUGUGGGCAUUUUACCCGCGAUUCUGCACGCCUCCGUUUGAAGAGGGAGGCUGUGCCCACGGUGGCUCUUCCGCGAUUUAGAUGCAGCCCACCGACUCUGCUCCCCCACCACGGCGGGCUCCAGUCUGAGGUGAGUACACUAAAUAAACGUUUUAACAUCUUCUAAAGACAAUUUCCUACCUAAAUGCAAAGUCUGAGAGACGUGGUUCACUUCCUUUAGCUAGUCAGUCGGUAAUUCUGCAACAGUGGCUCUAACUGACGCAGCACUAGUUGACAGACAGCAUUACAGCGUGAAAUCCAGCUUGUGACUCGGUUCUGUAAGGAAUUCUGUUCAGGAGGUCACAUUUCAGGCUCUCCACAUCAUAUGUGACUGACUUUUACGUUAUAACAACGAUCACACACUAGGAAUGUUAUAAAGCGCCUAUAUAGGACAGUUUCUUUUGUAUAUUAUCUGACUUUAUAAACUCCGACAACAAUGUGCUUCUUUUAUUUUCAGGCUAAAUCUACCCAAGACACUGGGUGUCAGACUGAUUUAGCUGCAAGAAUGCACUUGUCCAGGCAGACGUGAAGCCUUACCUGUAGCAAAGCCAGCCAGAAUUGAGUUCUCAGCCGCAGUGUGUCUGGUGACCCACAGGGACCAUGAUGAAAAUUCAUCUUCCAGAAAGUCUCAGAGCAGCGUCCACAUCCCCUGAAAAGACCAAGAUGUGAGGUGUCUGCUGUUGAUUCCAGCUUCCACCUCAGUGACAGUGCAAGCUCAGUGAACUGUUCAAGGUAAAAAAAAAAUUAAAACAUUUCAGAAUUUUUAAGAUAUUAACAAUUAAAUAAGUAUGUGAUUACAUCAUGACGGAGGCUACUGAUUCUGCCCCUGUGACACUUGGUGGUGACAUGUGAGCUGAUUCACCUGGACACUCAGCAAAAUAUGGACUCUACACCAUGAGGCAGGCACACGUUAAUAUUCUAUAAGAGCACAUAAGCAUGAGGAUGUCCUCACACACCUGUAACCUAUCAGCUCAUCUGGCAGAAUAGAGAGAGAAGAGACAACACCACAUCUCCUGUUCCUGGAAAGCCUUCAGCCAUCCUUUGAUGACUGAGAACCUCCAUCAGCUCUGUCUCCUGUCUGCCUACAAUUAUUAUAAUAAAUAUUGUGUUUGACAAGUU
Nothobranchius furzeri (turquoise killifish) is the source of this 1790-nucleotide non-coding RNA. Lineage: Eukaryota; Metazoa; Chordata; Actinopteri; Cyprinodontiformes; Nothobranchiidae. The record is from RefSeq and is a predicted model, not a curated record.